UGAAUGAUGAUGAACAAUAUGCUGGCACCCGUCUCAUCUCUUCGUUAUUGUCGAAAGAAAUGAUGAUUAUUUUGCUGGACACCAAAUACGUGGGGUCCCUGA
Molecule: small nucleolar RNA, 102 nt
Filed under: Schizosaccharomyces pombe (fission yeast)
Lineage: Eukaryota; Fungi; Ascomycota; Schizosaccharomycetes; Schizosaccharomycetales; Schizosaccharomycetaceae
Description: partial snR80 small nucleolar RNA
Source: RNAcentral